AGCAGCCGCGGUAAUUCCAGCUCCAAUAGCGUAUAUUAAAGUUGUUGCAGUUAAAAAGCUCGUAGUUGAAUUUCGGGAUCAGUUGGUCGGUCGUGCCUCGGUACGUACUGGUCAAAUUGAUUCCUACCUUCUGACGAACCACGAUGUCAUUAAUUUGGUGUCGUGGGAAAUCAGGACUGUUACUUUGAAAAAAUUAGAGUGUUUAAAGCAGGCUCGCGCUUGAAUACAUUAGCAUGGAAUAAUGAAAUAGGACGUUUGAUUCUAUUUUGUGGUUUCUAGGAUCGACGUAAUGAUUAAUAGGGAUAGUUGGGGGCAUUAGUAUUCAAUUGUCAGAGGUGAAAUUCUUGGAUUUAUUGAAGACUAACUACUGCGAAAGCAUUUGCCA
This 385-nucleotide ribosomal RNA is filed under the name uncultured Glomeromycotina. RNAcentral describes it as "SSU rRNA". It matches the Rfam family "Eukaryotic small subunit ribosomal RNA", at positions 569 to 960 of the family's 1831-position model. Lineage: Eukaryota; Fungi; Glomeromycota. The record is from RNAcentral.